Long non-coding RNA from Equus caballus (horse), 2935 nucleotides. RefSeq lists it as uncharacterized. The record is from RefSeq and is a predicted model, not a curated record. NCBI's taxonomy places the organism in Eukaryota, Metazoa, Chordata, Mammalia, Perissodactyla, Equidae.
UUAAAAAAAAAAAAAAGAAACUGGUUAAAUGAAUGAAUGAAUGAAUCAACCAUGCAGAGGGUAAAGGCCAACAGGCAGCUUCUGAUGAUGUUGGAUACUCUGCUCAUUUCCCCACCAGUGUAAAACCUUGAAUUAAUGGAGGAGGUGGUUGGGGUGGGGGCAGGAUUAGCUUGUAAAUAGGAUGCAAUAAAUACAGGGGAGGUAUAAUAGCCUGUAUUUAUUGGGCAUCAACUAUAUGCCAAGGAUUCUUCAUGUUUAUCUCUACUCCUUAUGAAUACCCUGCAAGGUAGGUGUCUUUAUCCCCAUUUUACAGAAGAAUGAGUUGCCCAGUGAUGGCUUUAUGCUACCAUCAGUUGAAGAUCCAAGAUGGAAACCUAAAGUCCACAUUUUUCCUGCUAUGCCAAGCUACCCUUAAACAGGUAGUGUAUUCUCUCUGAGCAGGCCUGUGUUGCCUGAGUUUUAAUCCAAGACGUUGCAAUAAUCUCUCAUCUUCAGGUGGACUCCUGACUUGGCUGAUGCUCCUUUUGGUUUAGCUUUGUUGUUAAAUUAGUCUGUUCCUGCACAGUACCACUUAUAUAAGGAUUUCACAGCACAUUACGAUCAAGUGCCUUGAACAUACAGUGGCAAUGAAGUUGUUUCUCCCAGUUGAAGAUGAAAAGACUGCAGCAGAAGGAAGUUAUGUGACUCGUUAGAGAAUGUAAAGGAGUGAGUCAUUGAUGGAGCGUGUAUGGAAAUGAGGCGUUUAGGAGACUGUUAGGGGAACUGAUAUGGAUCCGGGACAUACAAUAGUAGGCAUCUAUUGCUGUAGUUGUGAAAUUGUUUAAUGCUUUUUGCUUCUUCAACUUCAAUGCUUAUAACUGUAUGUCCCAGAAUGCAACAAAGCAAUGCCAAGAGACUGUAGACCACAUGGAACACAGAUGUCAAUCACAGGUCAUUCUGCCUACUAGAGAUGAGUUUGUCUUUUUGUGAGGCUACUGGAUCCUAUUUGUGACCCAUGUUUCUACUAACACUUUUGCGGACCCUCUAUUUACAAGAGUCUCUACAUGGUCAAGGGUGUGAGGAGGAGCGAGCAGUCAGAAAGGUGCAGAGGUCCUUCCUGGACCUUUCCUUUUACGUUUAUUAGAUGAUAUCUUUCAUUUGCCACAUCCUUCCAGCAGAUGGGUGGAUUACAUCCUCCAGGUGAAAGAUGAGAGCAGAAGAGCUAAUUUGGCUGACUGCUACUUCCUAUGGGACCUCAGGUCCUUGUAAGGGGCCCAGCUGCCCCAGUGGUCUAUGGUCUCUGGAAAAUGGAAAUAGAAAAACAUCCUGCCCCUACUUUUAACAAACUGUGGAGUUCCUGGCUUAUUUUCUAAAUCAACAUGUUGGUGAAUGUACUGAUGGAGCUUGGGAGGUGGUGUAGUUUUGAGUGAUGAAGUGUGGAAGUGUUUUGAGCCAUGGUCACCUGUUAGGCUAGAAUUCCCCAUGGAGGCCCUCCUCUUUGUGACUUGUAUACCUUUAUUCUUCCCCCUCCAAACCCCAAAUAGACACAGUAAUAGAGAAACACCACUAGGCAGACUAAUAUCUGAUAAGUGCUACCCUUAUUAUCCCAAAUGACUUGAGAAAAGAAAUUGAAGACAUAGUGACUUUUCCAUGAAUAUACUAAGAAGGAUGAGGGAAGAGGCAGAGUUUGGUCCUUUUCUGGUCAUAGGGAAGGAGAGAGAUGGUAUGUCUGAAAUAAUCCAUUUUGCUUUUUCCAUUUACUGCCUUAAAAAAUAAAAGUAAAAUAUGAACCCACAGAUGAGGAAGAGCUCGAGAAAAAUAAAUGAAAUGCUGAGGAAUUGGCAUACCCCUCCCGAAGAAGGUAGGUUUGCCAGGAAUUUUGUGGGGGAAAGAAGAAACAAUGCAGUAAUACCCAUAUGCAUAUCUGUGGAGGCAGGAAAUGCUUUUUGAAAAUUAAAUUUCAAACAGACAGUGAUGAUUUUGAUAUUGAGACACUUGGACAGAGAAAACCCAGGACGAAUUUCAAAAUUUUGCUUUCUAAUAUUCAUCUCCUUUCCUUCCAGGAAGCAAAAUUUAUGAACUUCAGAAUUAAAUUCAAAGGAUAUAGUACUUGGUGAAUUGCACAAAGGAUCACUCAAUCCUUCCAACCGAGGAGAGAAACUGUGAUUGGAAAGCUCCCUUCCCAAAGGUGUGCCCCCUGAAUUCUGGGAUUGCAUAAUGUGAGUGCAAAUGAAAGUCAAGUCAAUGAAAGCAGUCAAGGAGGGACAAGAGAGGAGGGAGGGUAUUUCCAGAGGAGAUUUGAAAUGAGAUCCCGGGUUGAUGAGGCAAAGACAUACAGGAUGGUUGUUCAAAUGACAGGAGCUACAGAAGAUGUGCCUCUGUGUUUGUCUUUAUGAAGAGAGAAAAGCUUAAACGGACAGGAACACCAAAUAUUAAAAGUACUAUAUACAGCACAAAACAUUGUUUUAAAAUCUGAAAAUGCUACAAGAACACAGAUUUCACUUUAAAUAAUUUUGCUGAACAUGAUUUUCAAAAGUGAAUGAGUAAUUUUACAUGGUAUGGUGGUAUAGUGGUUGAAUUGUGGCCCCCAAAAAGAGUCUCCACGUUCUAACCCCCAGGACCUGUGAAUGUGACCUUUUUGGGAAAAAGCAUAUUUACUAGUGUAAUUAAGUUAAAGAUAUUUAGAUGAGAUCAUCUUAGAUUACCUGGGUGGGCCCUAAAUCCAUUGACAACUGUCCUUAUAAGAGAUAAAAGAGAAGACAGACACACAGAGCGAGAAGGUGUUGUGAAGAACGGGGCAGAGAUUGGAGCGAUGCAGCCACAGGGCAAGGAAUGCCUGAAGCCACCAGCAGCUGGAAGAAGGAUUCUCUCCUAGAGAUUUCAGAGGGAGCAUGCUCUGCAAACACUUUGAUUUUGGACUUCUGGCCUCCAGAACUGUAAGAGAAUAAAAUUUCCU